GCCCAGACUCCUACGGGAGGCAGCAGUGGGGAAUAUUGGGCAAUGGGCGCAAGCCUGACCCAGCAACGCCGCGUGAAGGAAGAAGGCUUUCGGGUUGUAAACUUCUUUUAAGAGGGAAGAGUAGAAGACGGUACCUCUUGAAUAAGCCACGGCUAACUACGUGCCAGCAGCCGCGGUAAUACGUAGGUGGCAAGCGUUGUCCGGAUUUACUGGGUGUAAAGGGCGUGUAGCCGGGCCGGCAAGUCAGAUGUGAAAUCCCAAGGCUCAACCUUGGAACUGCAUUUGAAACUGUUGGUCUUGAGUAUCGGAGAGGCAGGCGGAAUUCCUAGUGUAGCGGUGAAAUGCAUAGAUAUCACGCAGAACUCCGAUUGCGAAGGCAGCAUACCGGCGCCCAACUGACGCUGAAGCACGAAAGCGUGGGUAUCGAACAGGAUUAGAUACCCCUGUA
This 448-nucleotide ribosomal RNA is filed under the name uncultured bacterium. Its description in RNAcentral is "partial 16S ribosomal RNA". It matches the Rfam family "Bacterial small subunit ribosomal RNA", at positions 329 to 792 of the family's 1533-position model. The record is from RNAcentral.